AGAGUUUGAUCCUGGCUCAGGAUGAACGCUGGCGGCGUGCCUAACACAUGCAAGUCGAGCGAUCUUCUUCGGAAGAGAGCGGCGGACGGGUGAGUAACGCGUGGGUAACCUGCCUCAUACACAUGGAUAACAUACCGAAAGGUAUGCUAAUACAAGAUGAUAUAAGAGAUUCGCAUGGAUUUCUUAUCAAAGCUCCGGCGGUAUGAGAUGGACCCGCGUCUGAUUAGCUAGUUGGUAAGGUGACGGCUUACCAAGGCGACGAUCAGUAGCCGACCUGAGAGGGUGAUCGGCCACAUUGGAACUGAGACACGGUCCAAACUCCUACGGGAGGCAGCAGUGGGGAAUAUUGCACAAUGGGCGAAAGCCUGAUGCAGCAACGCCGCGUGAGCGAUGAAGGCCUUCGGGUCGUAAAGCUCUGUCCUCAAGGAAGAUAAUGACGGUACUUGAGGAGGAAGCCCCGGCUAACUACGUGCCAGCAGCCGCGGUAAUACGUAGGGGGCUAGCGUUAUCCGGAUUUACUGGGCGUAAAGGGUGCGUAGGUGGUUUCUUAAGUCGGGAGUGAAAGGCUACGGCUCAACCGUAGUAAGCCCUUGAAACUGGGAAACUUGAGUGCAGGAGAGGAAAGUGGAAUUCCUAGUGUAGCGGUGAAAUGCGUAGAUAUUAGGAGGAACACCAGUAGCGAAGGCGGCUUUCUGGACUGUAACUGACACUGAGGCACGAAAGCGUGGGGAGCAAACAGGAUUAGAUACCCUGGUAGUCCACGCCGUAAACGAUGAGUACUAGGUGUCGGGGGUUACCCCCCUCGGUGCCGCAGCUAACGCAUUAAGUACUCCGCCUGGGGAGUACGCUCGCAAGAGUGAAACUCAAAGGAAUUGACGG
Molecule: ribosomal RNA, 879 nt
Filed under: uncultured bacterium
Lineage: Bacteria
Description: bacterial SSU rRNA
Rfam family: Bacterial small subunit ribosomal RNA
Source: RNAcentral